Molecule: transfer RNA, 71 nt
Filed under: Candidatus Gottesmanbacteria bacterium
Lineage: Bacteria; Candidatus Gottesmaniibacteriota
Description: tRNA-Ala
Rfam family: tRNA
About the family: Transfer RNA (tRNA) molecules are approximately 80 nucleotides in length.
Source: RNAcentral
GGGCCCGUAGUCUAUCGGUAGAACACCUCCAUGGCAUGGAGGAGGGAGGGGUUCGAUUCCCCUCGGGUCCA